This 253-nucleotide ribosomal RNA is filed under the name uncultured bacterium. RNAcentral describes it as "partial 16S ribosomal RNA". It matches the Rfam family "Bacterial small subunit ribosomal RNA", at positions 524 to 776 of the family's 1533-position model. The record is from RNAcentral.
UACGUAGGGUCCGAGCGUUGUCCGGAAUUAUUGGGCGUAAAGGGCUCGUAGGCGGUUCGUCACGUCGGGAGUGAAAACUCGGAGCUUAACUCCGAGCCUGCUUCCGAUACGGGCAGACUAGAGGUAGGCAGGGGAGAGCGGAACUCCUGGUGUAGCGGUGGAAUGCGCAGAUAUCCUGAGGAACACCGGUGGCGAAAGCGGCGCGCUGGAUCCCUUCUGACGCUGAGGCGCGAAAGCCAGGGGAGCAAACGGG